GACCGAUUAGUCUAUUUUUUUAAGACAUAUAUUUUGAAAAUAUAAAAAAAGAUAAAAUCUUAUCGGUUU
RNAcentral lists this transfer RNA (69 nucleotides) under Trichodectes canis. RNAcentral's name for it is "tRNA-Ser". The record is from RNAcentral. Lineage: Eukaryota; Metazoa; Arthropoda; Insecta; Psocodea; Trichodectidae.